GAAAGUAGGAAAGGGCGUACGGUGGAUGCCUUGGCUCUUACAGGCGAUGAAGGACGUGAUAAGCUGCGAAAAGCCGCGGGUAGGUGCAAAUGACCUUUGAUCCGCGGAUCUCCGAAUGGGACAACCCAAUGUUCUGAAGGAACAUUAUUCCACGAAUGUGGAAGGCGAACGCGGGGAACUGAAACAUCUUAGUACCCGCAGGAAGAGAAAAUAAACAAUGAUUCCCCCAGUAGUGGCGAGCGAACGGGGAAGAGCCCAAACCGGCCCUGUCGAGGCAGGACCGGGGUUGUAGGACCGCGAUGUCGGACGAAAUUUUGUGAGCGGAAGGUGCUGGAAAGCGCCGCCAUAGACUGUGAAAGCCAGGUACGCGAAGCAAGAUGAACCGUAGCGGAAUCCUGAGUAGCGCGGGACACGAGGAAUCCUGUGUGAAGCGGCCGGGACCAUCCGGUAAGGCUAAAUACUCGUAAGAGACCGAUAGUGAACCAGUACUGUGAAGGAAAGGUGAAAAGCACCCCGGAGAGGGGAGUGAAACAGUUCCUGAAACCGUGCGCCUACAAGCGGUCGGAGCUCAUUAUUGAGUGACGGCGUGCCUUUUGCAUAAUGAACCUACGAGUUGCCGUCGUUGGCGAGGUUAAGGAACACGAGUUCCUGAGCCGUAGUGAAAGCGAGCCUGAAUAGGGCGCCGAGUCAGCGGAGGCAGACGCGAAACCGAGUGAUCUACACUUGUCCAGGAUGAAGUCCCGGUAACACGGGAUGGAGGUCCGCACCGAUAAGCGUUGAAAAGCUUCCGGAUGAGGUGAGUGUAGGAGUGAAAGGCCAAUCAAACUCGGAGAUAGCUCGUACUCCCCGAAAGGCAUUUAGGUGCCGCCUCUUACGUUCCCGAUGUGAGGUAGAGCGACUGAUAGGAUGCGAGGGCUUCACCGCCUAUCAAGUCCUGACAAACUCCGAAUGCGCAUCGGCCAAGUGAGGGAGUAAGGGCAUGGGUGCUAAGGUCCGUGCCCGAGAGGAGAAGAAUCCAGACCACCGGCUAAGGUCCCGAAAUGCAGUUUAAGUUAGACUAACGAAGUCCGGCCCCCAAGACAGCUAGGAUGUUGGCUUGGAAGCAGCCAUUCAUUCAAAGAGUGCGUAACAGCUCACUAGUCGAGGAGCUGGGCAUGGAUAAUAAUCGGGUAUCAAAUCUGCUGCCGAAGCCGUGGGAUACAUCAGUAUCGGUAGGGGAGCAUUCCAUUCAGCGUUGAAGGCGUACCGUAAGGUAUUCUGGAGCGUAUGGAAAAGCAAAUGUAGGUAUAAGUAACGAUAAGGAGGGUGAGAUGCCCUCCCGCCGCAAGACCAAGGUUUCCUGAACAACGCUAAUCGGUUCAGGGUCAGUCGGGUCCUAAGCAUAAGCCGCAAGGCGAGGGCGAUGGCAGAAACGGUUAAUAUUCCGUUACUACCUUUGCGCGUGAUGUGGGGACGGAGGAGUGACACGGUCGCCGCCUGACGGAAUAGGCGGUUGAAGGGUGUAGGUUAUGAGGAAGGCAGGCAAAUCCACCUUCCGAGCUGAAACCUGAGAGUACGGAGCGUCCUUCGGGACAAUCCGAGAGUACCGGUAAUCAGACUCCCGAGAAAAUCCGCUAAACAGCAACGCAAAGGUACCCGUACUCGAAACGGACACACGUGGUCGGGUUGAAUAUACUGAGGCGCUUGGGAGAUUCACGGUUAAGGAACUAGGCAAAUUGACCCCGUACCUUCGGAAAAAGGGGUCCUCACAGCAAUGUGAGGCGCAGAGAAUAGGUCCAGGCAACUGUUUAACAAAAACACAGGGCUGUGCCAAAUUUAACGAUGAUGUAUACAGCCUGACACCUGCCCGGUGCCGGAAGGUUAAGAGGAGAGCUUAUCAGCAAUGAGAAGGUUUGAAUUGAAGCCCCGGUAAACGGCGGCCGUAACUAUAACGGUCCUAAGGUAGCGAAAUUCCUUGUCGG
Molecule: ribosomal RNA, 1961 nt
Filed under: human gut metagenome
Description: bacterial LSU rRNA
Rfam family: Bacterial large subunit ribosomal RNA
Source: RNAcentral